GAGAACUCGGGUGAAGGAACUAGGCAAAAUGGUACCGUAACUUCGGGAGAAGGUACGCUCUCGACGGUGAAGUCCCUCGCGGAUGGAGCUAUUGAGAGUCGCAGAUACCAGGUGGCUGCAACUGUUUAUUAAAAACACAGCACUGUGCAAAAUCGUAAGAUGACGUAUACGGUGUGACGCCUGCCCGGUGCCGGAAGGUUAAUUGAUGGGGUUAGACUUCGGUCGAAGCUCUUGAUCGAAGCCCCGGUAAACGGCGGCCGUAACUAUAACGGUCCUAAGGUAGCGAAAUUCCUUGUCGGGUAAGUUCCGACCUGCACGAAUGGCGUAAUGAUGGCCACGCUGUCUCCACCCGAGACUCAGUGAAAUUGAAAUCGCUGUGAAGAUGCAGUGUACCCGCGGCUAGACGCACGUACGCCAGUAUGUGUGGAGCCGUCCUUGAAAUACCACCCUUGUAGUGUUGAUGUUCUAACGUCGACCCCUUAUCGGGGUUGCGGACAGUGCCUGGUGGGUAGUUUGACUGGGGCGGUCUCCUCCCAAAGAGUAACGGAGGAGCACGAAGGUGGGCUAAUCACGGUUGGACAUCGUGAGGUUAGUGCAAUGGCAUAAGCCCGCUUGACUGCGAGAAUGACAAUUCGAGCAGGUGCGAAAGCAGGUCAUAGUGAUCCGGUGGUUCUGAAUGGAAGGGCCAUCGCUCAACGGAUAAAAGGUACUCCGGGGAUAACAGGCUGAUACCGCCCAAGAGUUCAUAUCGACGGCGGUGUUUGGCACCUCGAUGUCGGCUCAUCACAUCCUGGGGCUGAAGUCGGUCCCAAGGGUAUGGCUGUUCGCCAUUUAAAGUGGUACGCGAGCUGGGUUUAGAACGUCGUGAGACAGUUCGGUCCCUAUCUGCCGUGGGCGUUGGAAGAUUGAAGGGGGCUGCUCCUAGUACGAGAGGACCGGAGUGGACGAACCUCUGGUGUUCGGGUUGUGUCGCCAGACGCAUUGCCCGGUAGCUAAGUUCGGAAUCGAUAACCGCUGAAAGCAUCUAAGCGGGAAGCGAGCCCUGAGAUGAGUCUUCCCUGAUACUUUAAGUAUCCUAAAGGGUUGUCGGAGACUACGACGUUGAUAGGUCAGGUGUGUAAGUGCUGUGAGGCAUUGAGCUAACUGAUACUAAUUGCCCGUGAGGCUUAACCAUACAACACCCAAGGGGUUU
Molecule: ribosomal RNA, 1192 nt
Filed under: Vibrio parahaemolyticus
Lineage: Bacteria; Pseudomonadati; Pseudomonadota; Gammaproteobacteria; Vibrionales; Vibrionaceae
Description: partial 23S ribosomal RNA
Rfam family: Bacterial large subunit ribosomal RNA
Source: RNAcentral